UUCAAUGGUGGCUGUGUAUGGGUGACCCUUGUGGUCAGCCGGGAUUCUUGAGGCCUCGGUCUUGCAGGCCCGUAUGCAGCCGCCACCCAU
This 90-nucleotide non-coding RNA is filed under the name Pseudomonas sp. CC120222-01a. The record is from RNAcentral. Lineage: Bacteria; Pseudomonadati; Pseudomonadota; Gammaproteobacteria; Pseudomonadales; Pseudomonadaceae.